Molecule: ribosomal RNA, 681 nt
Filed under: Triticum aestivum (bread wheat)
Lineage: Eukaryota; Viridiplantae; Streptophyta; Magnoliopsida; Poales; Poaceae
Description: partial small subunit ribosomal RNA
Source: RNAcentral
AUGGCUGCGGCUUCUCCUCCCCUCCUCCCCGUCUCCGUUCUCCCGGCGGCCACCACCGCGACCACCACCAUCGUCCUCCCCGUUCCGGACACCUCCUCGGCGGCCGACCAGCGCGCCUACCUCUCCCGCCUCCUCGACUCCGCCAAGCGCUCCCUCUCCGGCGCGCGCCCGUGGGCGGAGCUCCUCGACCGCGCGGCGCUCAGCCGCCCGGAAUCCCUCGCCGACGCCACCGCCCGCGUCCGCAGGAACCUCGCCUACUUCCGCGUCAACUACGCUCUCCUCGUCGCGUUCUCCCUCGCCGCCUCCCUCCUCGCGCACCCGUUCGCGCUCGCCGCCCUGCUCGCGCUCCUCGCCGCCUGGUGCGCGCUCUACCUCCUCCGCGCCGCCGACGCACCCCCGCUGGAGGCCUUUGGGAAGACCUUCUCCGAGAGGGAGACGCUGGGCGGGCUCUUGGCGGCGUCGGCGUUCGUCGUGUUCGUGACCUCCGUCGGGUCCAUCGUCUUCUCCGCCCUCGCGGCCGGCGCCGCGCUCGCCUGCGCGCAUGGCGCGUUCCGGGUGCCCGAGGAACAGCUCUUCCUCGACGACGACAUACAGCCUGGCGCUGGAGGAAGAGUGGGCUCCUCCGUCGACCUGCUCUCCUUCUUCACCAACGCCGCCGGAGGAGGAGGUGGACGCGGCUGA